This 254-nucleotide ribosomal RNA is filed under the name uncultured bacterium. RNAcentral describes it as "partial 16S ribosomal RNA". It matches the Rfam family "Bacterial small subunit ribosomal RNA", at positions 524 to 777 of the family's 1533-position model. The record is from RNAcentral.
UACGUAGGGUGCGAGCGUUAAUCGGAAUUACUGGGCGUAAAGCGUGCGCAGGCGGUUCGUUAUGUCCGAUGUGAAAGCCCCGAGCUCAACUUGGGAAUGGCAUUGGAAACUGGCGGGCUGGAGUGUGGCAGAGGAGGGUGGAAUUCCACGUGUAGCAGUGAAAUGCGUAGAGAUGUGGAGGAACACCGAUGGCGAAGGCAGCCCCCUGGGCCAACACUGACGCUCAGGCACGAAAGCGUGGGGAGCAAACAGGG